AAACAUAAGAGUUUGAUCCUGGCUCAGGACGAACGCUGGCGGCGUGCCUAACACAUGCAAGUCGAGCGGAGAUGCCAAGGAGCAAUCCAAGGUGUCUUAGCGGCGGACGGGUGAGUAACACGUGGGUAACCUACCCCAAGGAGGGGGAUAACAGGUCGAAAGGCCUGCUAAUACCGCAUAAAGCUUAUGUAUCGCAUGAUGCAUAAGCCAAAGGAGGAAUCCGCCUUGGGAUGGGCCCGCGGCCCAUUAGCUAGUUGGUGAGGUAACGGCUCACCAAGGCGACGAUGGGUAGCCGGCCUGAGAGGGUGGUCGGCCACACUGGGACUGAGACACGGCCCAGACUCCUACGGGAGGCAGCAGUGGGGAAUAUUGCGCAA
Ribosomal RNA from Caloramator australicus RC3, 377 nucleotides. It matches the Rfam family "Bacterial small subunit ribosomal RNA", at positions 1 to 371 of the family's 1533-position model. The record is from Rfam. Lineage: Bacteria; Bacillati; Bacillota; Clostridia; Eubacteriales; Clostridiaceae.